GCAGUAGUAAGGAUCUGUUUUUCAUUUAAUGGUCUUUCUCAAGGAACUUCUGAGAAAUCGGGUAACUCCUUUCUCCUGAGGGAAGAGACACAAGAGGAUGCCAAGUGAACAAGAGGCAGAGGUUGAGCCUCAAGGCUGCUCUAAAAUCAGCUGUUCUGUCUCUCGUCCCACACGGCUUCUUGGUGAAUGGACCUCAGUUUCUUUGGGACUGCUUGAAAUUGCUGUAUUUUGAAAUGCUCCUGAGCUUAAAAUAUAUGAAAAAAUGAAAUACUAUCAAA
Long non-coding RNA from Zalophus californianus (California sea lion), 278 nucleotides. RefSeq lists it as uncharacterized. The transcript is spliced from 3 exons. The record is from RefSeq and is a predicted model, not a curated record. NCBI's taxonomy places the organism in Eukaryota, Metazoa, Chordata, Mammalia, Carnivora, Otariidae.